UCUCUACCUUCCGACCUGCUGUGUUGCGAUUCCCUGUUGGCUUUUCGGGAACUGGAGGAUGCAGAUUGGCAAGCGUGGAAGAGGCCGAGGAGGUCGUACGCCCUGCAGAAGAUGUUCGUCCGGACUUUCGGAGUGAAACCCAGAAACGUUCACGGUGCUGAAUCGGACGUGAUCACUUUACUCAAACUUGUGCUCAACCGAUGAAACGCAGUGUGCCGGUGGAUGGAUGAGCACGCAACGAGGUGGACGGACGUUCAGCCAUAUUACAUCCCGAAAAAGAUCUAGAAUGUGGUCAUAAAUACAAUGCAACAGGUUCUGGAGAAGAAACUGAUAUACGUGUAGAACCAUCAUCAACCUGUCCGAUGCUGUAGUGUAUCCAGCCUCAUUAAUUAGAAUACGUCUUGCAGCAUUCCCAUAUUUCCACUAGAAAAAUUUCGGUGGAAUUGAAAUCUAUAGAGGUAAAAUGAAUUUUUUUCUCUCUCUUUGUUUUAUAGAUAUUAUUAUUGAAUUUAGCAAAUUUGUGUUUUUCUUUGUUUUUAACAGUUAUUUUACUUGCUU
Long non-coding RNA from Anneissia japonica, 558 nucleotides. RefSeq lists it as uncharacterized. The record is from RefSeq and is a predicted model, not a curated record. The transcript is spliced from 3 exons. Lineage: Eukaryota; Metazoa; Echinodermata; Crinoidea; Comatulida; Comatulidae.